AUGUUAGAUGGCAAAUAAGCAUUACAAUGUAGGCUAAAAACAUUUUAAUGAUGGACAUUCAAUCACCACCAUUUCUUGUCCUAUGAUACUUGAGAUUUCAAUUUGCCUUAUUUUUUGGCUCAUGCCAUAAAAUGAGCUAGCAAAAUGGAUGGAUGGCAUGUAUAAAACAUAUACAUAAUGUUGGCUUACAGCGCACCAUUCAAUAGCAAUUGGGCCAUGUCCUAAUUCUUAUUUAUUUUUGGCUCAUGCUAAAGCAUAUGUAUGGCAUCGAUACAACACAUACAUUGAGAUGGGCCCUCGUCCAGGGUCUCAUCCACAAGUGGUCCACUUAUGAUUUGAAUUUGCCUAAUGGAUAUAUAACAAAUGCAUGAGGUGGGCCCCACAUUUAAGGUGUCAUUCACUAGUGGACCACCUGAGAUUUAGAUCUACCUAAAAUUUUGGACCAUGCCUUAAAAUGAGUUGGCAAAACAAAUUGACGGCAUGGAUAUACAAACACAUCGAGGUGGCCCGCCUGGCCCUCCAAUAGUCCACCUGAGACAUGGAUCUGCCUCAUUUUUUUUUUUUACCAUGCCCUUAAAUGAGUUGCCAAAAUGGAUGGACGACAUGGAUAUAUAAUACAUAAUCGAGUGGGCCCCACAUACAUGGCCUUAAAAAUUUUGUGUGUGAGGUAUAUAUCAACUCAAAAUUAACCAAUUAAAAUUUGAGACUAUUAUUGCUAAGUCACAAUCUCAAAAUUAGAUUGUUUGAACAAUUUUCACCAUUAGUUUGCCGACACUUUUUUUUUUUGGAAUAGGACCAUUUGAUAAAUCAUUCUUCAUUGUCCGAUAAAUGUCCACCAAUCCAUUAGUGGGAUAAGUGCCAAUAGAUUGCAUUAAUUUGAGGCUAAUUUGUGGCAUUGAAUGGUGCGUAAAUCAGCCUUGAAUCGACAAUACUAUUUACCCCAAUUUAAUUUUAAUUUUUUCUUAAGAUCUAUGAGGGAAAAUGAUAUCAAAUUGUUAGGUAUAUGAAUUACAUAAUAGGAUACAAAAGUCCGUAAACUCUAUAUAUCGAAAUGAAAUGUAUGCGAGUUGCGAGGUAUGCAAUGCACCAAUACUAUAAAUAAUAGUAAAACCUGAAAAUAUAAGAUGUUUUGAUAUUACAUUCAUUAUAGUAAAUUUUUAUAGAUAUUAUAUAAUUAGAAAACUAAAUAUAAAAGGUUUGUAGUCAAUUCCAAGUUGUCAGGUUCAUAAAUCCGUCAAACAGCCCGAUAUAGCAUUCCCACCAAAGAUUGGACCAUUACACUACCAUAAACAUAUUCAAAAUUAUAAAUGAAUGCAUAUUUGGAAUAUUUAUAAUUUUUUGGAUUUUCUUAAUAUUUUUUCAAAUUUUUUGGAGCAUUUUUUAAUCCGAUAUAGGGGCGUAUCACCUGUGACGCCCCUCGUAUCGCCCGUUACACCAAUUCGGCGUAUCCUUAACGGUGGGCACCGUAUGCUUCAAAUGGCAUGCCCAAAGUAUAUACCUUGGGAGAUUUUUACUUUUUCUCUUCUGAUAAGCAACAACAAUAGAUAAUUUUAUUUGAAGGAUACAAAAAGCAAUAACAGUGCAUAUAUUCAUUAAGAUAAUGGAUUAGCAUUCCCAACCAAGACCCCUUCCCUAGUUACAUCUUUCUUAGCUAGCACAUCUGCUAAGACGCUCAGCUUAUGGGGCACCACUUCCACAGCAGCUCACAAAACCCCGACACAUAUGCCAUGGCAUUCUAUGGAUCUCCUUCCAUAAGUAGACACUCAGCUUAUGGGGCACCACUUCCACAACAGCUCACAAAAGCCCGACACAUAUGCUAUGGCAAUCUAUGGAUCUCCUUCCAUAAGUGAGUAGAGUGCCAUGAAAAGAAACCCGAUAAAGCUUGAUACCAGUUUUUAUUGCCUCCUAGUUCCAAUUCUGCCCUAUUUGACUCACCCACUCUGGCAGGCCUGGAAAUGCCAAUUCCACUUAAGCUCUAUCAUUGUGAACCCCUUCCCCCACCCCAAAAUCCCCCAGAUUGCCAAAGGAACUACUGUCUGUGUUCAACUUUCACCAUCCAUUAGGAGGAUUCCGAGAAGCACCUUUCUUGGAGGGGGAUUCUGUAUGAGUACCCAUGCUUCUACUCAAGCAACAUUACUGAUCGUAGAUUUUUUUUAGAUCAGUAGAGGUGUUGCACUAAAAAAGCAAUGGGUGAAGGAAAGAAAAUAAACUAGCAUCUUUCAUUUUUUUUUUAAUUCUCUGGUUUUAUUGACGUAAGUGAGCAAAUUUCCAUGUAAUUGGUUCUUUUCAUUCUCUAUGGCAAUAACCUGAUUAAAACCGGGAAGUUGUGGCUGGAAGUGGCCGAGAGGAUAUGUCAUUUACGGUAUACUCUAAUUAUUUUAUUGCCAUAUUGUGGAAUAGAUAUAUUCAUUGUACUUUUCACUUUUAUGAGACAGAGGUUCUUAAAAUUGAAUGCUGGGCAAAACUGUCCUUAUUAUGUGCUU
Molecule: long non-coding RNA, 2483 nt
Organism: Magnolia sinica
Lineage: Eukaryota; Viridiplantae; Streptophyta; Magnoliopsida; Magnoliales; Magnoliaceae
Exons: 3
Source: RefSeq, a predicted model, not a curated record